Molecule: ribosomal RNA, 206 nt
Filed under: uncultured bacterium
Lineage: Bacteria
Description: partial 16S ribosomal RNA
Rfam family: Bacterial small subunit ribosomal RNA
Source: RNAcentral
CGCGUAGGCGGACCGAAAGUUGGGGGUGAAAUCCCGGGGCUCAACCCCGGAACUGCCUUCAAAACUGCCGGUCUAGAGUUCGAGAGAGGUGAGUGGAACUCCGAGUGUAGAGGUGAAAUUCGUAGAUAUUCGGAAGAACACCAGUGGCGAAGGCGACUCACUGGCUCGAUACUGACGCUGAGGUGCGAAAGUGUGGGGAGCAAACA